UUAAAAAAGUAAAAAGAAACAGGUGAAAUUAAUAUAUUAAAAUUUUUAUUUAACCCCAGAAUAUUUUCAUCUUAACAUAUAAGUGAUUCAUGGGCUAUUUCAGUCUUUUAUUUUGUAUGAAGUCUUGAAAAUUCAUUGUGUAUUUGAUACUCACCGUGCGUCUCAGUUCAGACUAGCCACAUUUUAAAUGCUCAGUUGCCAGAUGUGGCUCGGGGCUCCCUUACUGGACAGUGUAGCUCUAGAUGGUUCUUUCCCUUAAAUAAAAGUUAGGGCAGGCUGACCGCUGUGAGGCAGGCUGGAUCUUGGGGACAACCAUGUGGGUUUGCCACUUUGCAAAGCAGUAUAAAGGUGUCCCUUGCACUGGGAGGAGUGGGGAAGCAGGGGGCCUGGCAGGGGCUCACUGGCUGGGUAUUCCUCUCGCAAGUAUCUAACAUUUAUUUAUCCUCCUGGUCCCAAGGAGGGGCCAAUCUCAGCCAGACCCAUGGUCCAGCUGUCCUGGAGAGAGCUGGACAGGGCAGCUCAUGAGAUUUUCCCUCCCUUUCCCCUGGGGGUUUGAAGGGAAAUUUUUGGGUAGGGAGAACAAAGCCGAAAAGCAUCCUCAGUUCAAACAUUGAUUGGGCGAGCUUUUGUUCUCCGUCUUAUCAAAUAACUUGGAGUUAAAGAGACAGGCAGGCUCCUCGCAGGGCUGUUGAACUCUGUCCCCAAAGCAGGUGCUGUUGGGGCAGCUUAGGUGGACGGUAAUGAAGGUCAGGAGGAAGAGGUGGCAGUGGGCGCAGAGUGCAAGGUGUGGGUUCCAGCUGAUCAAUUAUUCAGGCGCCAGACAGUGGGAAUAUUGUCAGGAGACAGAGUCCCUGGGCCCCAGGCAUUCCCACCCCGACUAUUCUCAGCCUGGCAGCGGGAGUAAUCCUGUUUUAAGGUAGAGUAGGUAACGUCACUUCCAAGCUUGAGUCCCUCCUGUCUUACCCAGAGAAACAACCAAAGUCCUCCCCCCAUCUCUAAGGCCCUCUGACCUCAUCCUCUGUUGUUCCUCCAUCAAUGCUCUUGCUCAGAGCCUUUGCACUGGCUGUUCCCUCUGCCUGAACUGCUUUUCUCCCACCUUCUUUCCCUCACCUUCCUUCAGGAAUGUGCUCAAUGUCGCCUUCUCAGUGAGACCUUCUGGCUCCCCUGUCUAAAAUCCCAACCUUCCCCAAUACUUCCUAUCCCCCACCCUAUUUCUUUUUCUUUAUUCUCUUAUAUUUCUUCUUAGCACUUAUCUCUGUUUAAUAUGCUUUAUAGUUUUCUUCUCUAUCUGGAAUACCGUCUAUCUACCCCCUAGAAUACAAGCUUCAUGAAGAAAGGGAUUUGUGACUGUUCAUGGUGUACCCCAGCUCCUGGAAUAGGCCUGGCAUCCAAUAGGUGCUCAAUGAAUGCUUGUUGAAUGAGUGAAUGAGUGGUGGAAAGAACACUGGCUUUGGAACUAGAUUGACCUUGAAGGUUCAAGUCCUGGUUCUAGCUGUGUAGCCUUAGAAAAAUGGCUUAACCUCUAUGCGUCUUAGUCUCUUCAUCUGUAAAAUGGGGACAACAGUACUUAGUCUAAAUAGUUGUGUCAGGGUGGAUUGAAUAAUAUAACCAAUUCAUCCAGUAAACAUUUACCCUUUCCCUUCUCUGGACCAGGUAUUGUGCCAGGUGGAGACCCAGUGAGCAAGGGAGGCCAGAGGGCCCGUCCCUGCCUUCCAGAAGCACGUCUGGAGAAAAAUGGGCAGAAAGCCCAGGGGAACAGCAGGUCUCUGGUGGCUCCAGGCUCCUGCCCCCACCCCCAUGCUCUGUGAGUGACAGGGCCCCCAGACAGACAUCUUUUGAAGUAUCUGCAUCGCUCACAAUGACCCACUUCACUGCACGGAUUCCAACAACCAGGAAUCUACUUUGCGACCCACCCUGAUGGAUACGGUUGAUCGGAGAGAGGUUGAUGUAGGAACAUGUAAGACAGAAGAUGGAGAAAUAAACAAGAUUGUAUCUCUGGCCCCAGAUUUGCUAGCAAGAAGCUGUGCUCACCCCUGUGCAGACGACACUGCCUCUUCACUAGGAAACUGUGCCUCCAACUCCCUGGCCACAGUCAAGCUCUCUCAGUGGAAGAGGGGUCUCUCCUACCCACUGCCAACCCCUUCCCUGUACAUCUGGAGGAAAAACUAGAAAAGAACAGAUGUUGGAGGCCAAGGAACAGAGCGUUUCAAAGAAGAAGUGGUCAGCAACGGCCAGUGGCCAGCCUUGCCCUGGGCCUCUAGUUGGUCUUAUGGGGCCAGCAUUCAGAGUACUUGACUUAUCCCAUCGCUCCCAGGAGCGGUCUGCACGCUUCUCUUUCUGCCUUUGCUCCUUAAUUCUUCUCCUCUGCUGCAAUUUCUAGGCUCUUGAUUUUUUAGUAUUUUUUCUUUUUCUAGGUCUUGAGUCUUCAUCCUCCUUCUGCUGCUGAUUGCCUGUGGUAACCAUCCCCUCAGCUAAGCUGUGCCCUGGCCCUGGGGAGAGCAGCACCCCUGGGAAGGUACAGCAGACACAAGCAUAGAGGCCCAUUCACCUGCUUGGGUCCGCAUAGCUUGCCUCUGCCUAGUUUCUGUUUACCUCUCCACCUGUUCCCUCAUCUACUUCCUCUUUCCUUGUUACCAGCAUUGUCCUUGGACUAAGCCCUGUGCCCUCCCCCACAGCCCUUUACACACAGCUACUUACCCAGUCACCAUCUGGCUGCCCAGGAGGACCUAACCUGUGUUUGUGAGCCCAUAGUCCUUGGGGUACCCAUUGGAGUGAACCUGGAAAUAUUCCAGCACUUGGAAUUUUCCUUUUCCUCUGCCCUGCCUCAGCAGGACUGACCACACCAUCGUCUCUUUGCCCCAGUGCUUCUCUCGGUGUUAUAAAGAUCUUGGCUGUAGCCAUAAGGCCCUCUAGGCUGCUCCAUCACUGGGUGAGGUCAAUUGACCUCAGAGGUCGGGCAAUGGGAGGUACUGCAUAGGCAGGCUCUUCCCCCACAUGCAAGGGAUGGGGAGAUCAGACACCACAGAGGUGUAGGGAAGCUCAGGGAUGACAGAGAGCUGCUGGCUGGCCUCCAGAAGUAGUCAUCUCCUGGAAUAUGCCUGGCCUGGGUGACACUGCCUCACCAAUGCUCCCAGGGCUACAGCUCUGCCUCCUGGGAGACCAGCUCCCAUGGAGGAUGGUCCAGUGGGCCCAGUGUGAGGCUUCUGCCCUUGUUUGCCACUCUGUCUCCUUCUCUGGUCUGUGAACAUCUUGAGGGCCCAGGCUCUGUUUUUCCUCCAUUUCUUCCCUUCUCUCCCACAGUUCUCUCCCAUUCCCUUUGAUAGUGACCUGCCUGCUCACGAUAGUUUGGUUCAGUCUUACAGGGUGCCCCCUUUCAUGGUCCUUCUUCCACGUGCUGGAACUGUUAAACCCUCCUGUUCCUCUCCGCCGUGGCUGUGCGAUGUCAGUUCACUCCUCAUGGCCCCCCUCACCUUUCUCCUCAUAUCCCCCAACUCCUCUUCCUCCCUGCUCUGCCCUGAAUCUGCUGUCUUCCAGACCUGGUCAGCCUCCCUCUCUGCAUCCUGCCCACAAGUUUCCUACAGCAGAUUAAGUUCUAAUCUUAAAUGACGGAAAAUAAGGAUGUGAAUUCCAUACAUCUUCAGUCAUUUGUACUCUUAUUUCCAUUUUAUGUUGGUAUUACUUUUUCAUUUUCUUUUUUGGCCUUUUUAAAUUUAGAGUUUCUUUUCCCUUUACUGGUUUGGAUGGUAUACAUUCUCUUUUUCUUUAUUUCUUUUUUACUAGUUACCCUAAAAAGUUUAACACCUAUAUAUGCUUGUUAAAUGUGUAUGUUGUGUGUGUGUGUGUGUGUGUGUGUGAGGAAGAUUAGCCCUGAGCUAACAUCUGAGCCAAUCUUCCUCUAUUUUAUGUGGGAUGCUGC
Equus caballus (horse) is the source of this 3916-nucleotide long non-coding RNA. RefSeq lists it as uncharacterized. The record is from RefSeq and is a predicted model, not a curated record. NCBI's taxonomy places the organism in Eukaryota, Metazoa, Chordata, Mammalia, Perissodactyla, Equidae.